Molecule: ribosomal RNA, 460 nt
Filed under: uncultured bacterium
Lineage: Bacteria
Description: partial 16S ribosomal RNA
Rfam family: Bacterial small subunit ribosomal RNA
Source: RNAcentral
CCUACGGGAGGCAGCAGUGAGGAAUAUUGGUCAAUGGACGAGAGUCUGAACCAGCUAAGCAGCGUGAAGGAUGACUGCCCUAUGGGUUGUAAACUUCUUUUAUAUGGGAAUAAAAUGUUCCACGUGUGGGAUUUUGUAUGUACCAUAUGAAUAAGGAUCGGCUAACUCCGUGCCAGCAGCCGCGGUAAUACGGAGGAUCCGAGCGUUAUCCGGAUUUAUUGGGUUUAAAGGGAGCGUAGGUGGAUUGUUAAGUCAGUUGUGAAAGUUUGCGGCUCAACCGUAAAAUUGCAGUUGAAACUGGCAGUCUUGAGUACAGUAGAGGUGGGCGGAAUUCGUCGUGUAGCGGUGAAAUGCUUAGAUAGCACGAAGAACUCCGAUUGCGAAGGCAGUUCACUGGACUGCAACUGACACUGAGGCUCGAAAGUGUGGGUAUCAAACAGGAUUAGAUACCCGAGUAGUC